AUUUCCAAUCCGAAAAUUGCCUAGACCGGCACCGGGAAUCGAACCCAGCCACCCUCAGCAGGGUCUUGAUUUGUAGCCGCGCGUCUUACCGCACGGCUAAGGAGGGCCCACUACUCGGUGCGUUAUAUAAACGUUAAAAUCGAUUGUCCUCGAAAUAAGACCCCCUACGAUUGGUAGAAAAGGCGUUAGCUCUUUGCUGCCGCAAGAAAACGCAUGAAGGAAUAACAUAAAUUGAGGCAAAGGGUUAACCGUCCGGAUCUCCGCAAUCGGAUAAGCUAGGCAGGCAAAAGCAGCGAACUCGGGUCAGGCAACAGUACCGAACGUAAGAAGCACGGCUUCGCAUAGCCAAGUUAGCGAAUCAAGGCAGGAAACGCAGGCAGCGAAGCGGAUAAUCCGGAAAGAAAAGGCUUGAGUCUGAGGGCGCUGUUCACGCUCCAAGGUGUCCAAAUUUCACCGAAAGAAUUGAACUGAGUCGAAAUUCC
Molecule: long non-coding RNA, 482 nt
Organism: Armigeres subalbatus
Lineage: Eukaryota; Metazoa; Arthropoda; Insecta; Diptera; Culicidae
Exons: 3
Source: RefSeq, a predicted model, not a curated record